Molecule: transfer RNA, 69 nt
Filed under: Idiocranium cf. russeli BMNH 2008.409
Lineage: Eukaryota; Metazoa; Chordata; Amphibia; Gymnophiona; Indotyphlidae
Description: tRNA-Trp
Rfam family: tRNA
About the family: Transfer RNA (tRNA) molecules are approximately 80 nucleotides in length.
Source: RNAcentral
AGGAAUUUAGGAUAAUAAGACCAAGGGUCUUCAAAACCCUAAGUAGAAGUGAAACCCCUCUAACUCCUG